AACGCCGGAAAUCUUACCGGGACCGACAGCAAUAUGAAGGCCAGGCUGAAGACUUUGCCGGAUUAGCUGAGAGGGUGGUGCAUGGCCGUCGUCAGUUCGUACUGUGAAGCAUCCCUGUUAAGUCAGGCAACGAGCGAGACCCACGCCCACAGUUGCCAGCGUACUCUCUGGAGUGACGGGUACACUGUGGGACCGCCGCUGCUAAAGCGGAGGAAGGAAUGGGCAACGGUAGGUCAGUAUGCCCCGAAUAUCCCGGGCUACACGCGAGCUACAAUGGUUGGUACAAUGGGUAUCUACCCCGAAAGGGGACGGGAAUCUCCUAAAACCAAUCUUAGUUCGGAUUGAGGGCUGCAACUCGCCCUCAUGAAGCUGGAAUCCGUAGUAAUCGCGUUUCAACAGAACGCGGUGAAUACGUCCCUGCUCCUU
RNAcentral lists this ribosomal RNA (426 nucleotides) under uncultured Methanosaeta sp. RNAcentral describes it as "bacterial SSU rRNA". It matches the Rfam family "Archaeal small subunit ribosomal RNA", at positions 914 to 1338 of the family's 1478-position model. The record is from RNAcentral. Lineage: Archaea; Methanobacteriati; Methanobacteriota; Methanomicrobia; Methanotrichales; Methanotrichaceae.